GCUGCCUAUAUCCUGGUAUUUGAAACAUGAUUCAAAGCCAAUAUUUAAAUCUACAUGAGAAUUUCAGCAAACAUUCAUUUUACAAUUUCCUUAACCAAGACAAUAUAUGUGUCUACAUGAAGGAGCACACCUUACAGUAUGCAAUUUUCUUGAUUUGCAUCUCCUGCCACUCAUGCUGGAAAACCCUUCAUUUUGUAGUGUUGUACAUGGCAUCAGGCUGCUACUUUUACCUUCAGACAUGCUGCAAAAAUAAUAACUGAAGAUGCAUACAUACUACCUUACCUGACUUAGAUCUUUGCUUUCCUGACAACUACUCCAGAGUUGAACUUCUUGUAUAUUAAAGAGCGGAUAUUACCCAAGAUGAGAGCACAAAAUGCUUAGCCUUGAGAUGUGCUCCUUCCUUAAGAUUCACAAUAAUCUGCUAAGUGUUAUAUGUGCGGACACACCUCGCACUUUAAGAUCGCGUUGAUAACGCCGCAGAAGUUUAGAAGGAAUGUAGCCCCUGUUAGCACAACAAUACACGACCAGACCAAAAUCUAGACCAAAUCAGUGUUCCUUUUUCACGUACCCAAUAAUUGCAUACUGUCUGAUAACAAGCAACAGUCAACAAGAAGUCAGCUAGAUAAUAAGGGAGUGAGCAAGAUGCCGGGCAAAAUGGAAACUAAGAAAAAAACAUGUCUGACAAAUGGCUAGAGGUCACAGACACGGAAUGAAGAAAGGCAAACAUCCUACACAACAUGAUAUAUGAGCAAGCGGAGGAUGUAGUAAUGCAGCGAUAGCAGAAAUGAUUUCAUCAUCGGUGUCGGAGAGGUUGACUGCGCAGAGGUUGGAGAAGGCCGCGAUCAUCGACACGACCUUGAGGCCCAUCGCGGAGAUGUGCGCCAUGGUGGGGAAGUCGUUGAGGCGCUGGAUGAUGUUGUUGGCCUGGGCGACGCCGUCCACCACCACGCAGGCAGUCCAGCCGCCCCGUUCGGAUCGGAGCAUGGGGUUGCCUCAGAGAUCCACCGACCUCGAGCGGUAGUGGUUGUGGUGGCGGUGCCGGCGGCGGCACAACUUCGCCGGAGCACUUUCGCUCGAACGAGCGGCCAUGGCGUCGAUCAGAAUCGCGUGCGGCGGCGGAUCCCCUUCCCCCCUCGCGUCGAGCGAAUAUUUUUCAGGAGCGACAGCGAUCGAUCGGUCUGGGAACGGCCGACACAUCCCAUCCCAUCUCUUUCACACACCCCCGUGGAUCCAAUCGACCGACGAACACCGGCCGCUCCUCUCCUCUGUGCGUCGCUCCUCUUUGCGCCUCGCAGGUCGCAUCGGGACUUGAUUGGAUGGACGCGGUCGCUCCUAUUCCCUUUUAGCGAAGCCCAUGAGUGGACCAGCUUUAGCGAAGCGCUGGAAUGGGCUGACCGACGGCCUAAAGGCCUCCG
RNAcentral lists this ribosomal RNA (1415 nucleotides) under Triticum aestivum (bread wheat). RNAcentral's name for it is "partial small subunit ribosomal RNA". Lineage: Eukaryota; Viridiplantae; Streptophyta; Magnoliopsida; Poales; Poaceae. The record is from RNAcentral.